CAAGAGACCAGCAGCCUGAACUGGCUGGGGCAUCCGGAAGGCUUAGAUCUUGUGGCCAAGAGUUCAGACCGUGGCGAAGUGGAGAGUGACAUGCAGUUGGAUGGCGGUGACUGCGUGGUAUGGAAGAAAAUUCAGCUGAAAUUUGCUAGAAAAUGAGUUGUUUUGGAAAGAGACUGUAGAGAAAGGCAAAUGGAAGAAGAAAGCUUCUGUGCCCCCACAGAUACCGACUGAAAAGUGUUAGCAUGAGCAAAAGUUCCUAUCUAAUAUUAUAUGCUUUCCUUUGCUCCCAGCAUUCCACAAUCACGGGCUACUUCAAUUCUGCCUGCUGAGCUGAUUUAAUAAUCUGGAAGAGGAUUAUUCUCCCCCAUCUGGAAGAGGAUUAUUCUCUAUAAUCCCAGUUAGAGACACAAUGACAUAAACAUCGCUGUCCUGCAACCCUGGUUCCAGUCUGGCAAGCAUUGUAGACCUGGCUGCUGAAGACUGACGGGGCCCAGGGUCCGCUGCCCCCACCGCCAUCACCACCUCGGAACCCAGGGUAACGCUGUCAGUCUUUGCCUUCAUCAACUCCCUAGCCAAGACUCCCUAUCAGGCCCUUACAGGUGCCGCUCUGGCUGGCAGUUACCCAAUUUGGGAAAACGAAAAUACCCUAUCAUGGCUACCUACCUUCACCUACAACUUCUGCCUGUCCACCCCCAGUCUCUUCUUUUUGUGUGAUACAAACUGAUAUCUUUGCCUACCAGCCAACUGGUCAGGAACUUGCACCCUGGUCUUUCAGGCUCCAACCAUCAACAUCCUACCCCCUAACCAAACUAUUCUAAUUUCUGUAGAAGCCUCUAUCUCCUCUUCACCCAUAAGAAAUAAAUGGGCUCUACAUCUCAUCACCCUGCUAACAGGAUUAGGCAUCACUGCUGCACUUGGCACUGGAAUAGCAGGCAUAACCACCUCAAUCACCUCAUACCAAACACUAUUCACAACCCUUUCUAACACCGUAGAAGAUAUGCACACUUCCAUUACCAGUCUCCAACGACAAUUAGACUUCCUCGUGGGAGUCAUCCUUCAAAACUGGAGAGUCCUGGACCUCCUAACCACUGAGAAAGGGGGUACCUGCAUAUACCUCCAGGAAGAAUGCUGUUUCUGUGUUAAUGAAUCUGGCAUUGUUCAUAUCGCAGUUCGUAGGCUUCAUGACAGGGCUGCAGAGCUUUGACAUCAAGUCGCUGACUCCUGGUGGCAAGGAUCAUCCCUUCUAAGAUGGAUACCCUGGGUUGCCCCCUUCCUAGGACCCCUGAUCUUCCUCUUCCUGUUACUAAUGAUUGGGCCAUGCAUAUUUAACCUUGUAUCCCGCUUCAUUUCCCAAAGGCUGAAUUGUUUUAUCCAGGCAAGCAUGCAAAAACACAUUGAUAAUAUAUUUCACCUUUGCCACGUCUAAUACCAGAGCCUACGAGGAAACCAUUCGGAAGCUCCAGAACCCAGGCCCUAAUCACAACGCCCCUAUCCAGCAGGAAGCAGCCAGAUGAUCAACGACGCCCUUUUUCCUUUUUAUACUAAAGUAAGAAAUAAGAAUGUUAGCCCAAACUGCACUAUUUUGCAGACCCCUACCAUUUUACAAACUGGUCAGAGUGGAAAAUUCCACCAGGGCCUGAGCUGUGAGAAACAUCCUGUCAGGCAGGUCCCAGGCCUAACCCCUGGCUGCACUAAAUUCCUUCAUUAUCAGCAGCCAAACACACCGCCCCCACCCCAUUUUCACAACAAUCCCAGACCUCUCCUGCCCGGGACUGUAACUGGUCCAGCCUGUAAGCGGGAAGGGGGCUCUGGCACUAGCUGGUACCCCCUCUCCGCAGGUCUUUCUC
This is a long non-coding RNA of Homo sapiens (human), 1847 nucleotides long. Ensembl annotates it as long intergenic non-protein coding RNA 1278. NCBI's taxonomy places the organism in Eukaryota, Metazoa, Chordata, Mammalia, Primates, Hominidae. The record is from Ensembl.